AACGAACGCUGGCGGCAUGCCUAACACAUGCAAGUCGAACGAGACCUUCGGGUCUAGUGGCGCACGGGUGCGUAACGCGUGGGAACCUGCCCUUAGGUCCGGAAUAACUCCCCGAAAGGGGUGCUAAUACCGGAUAAUGUCUUCGGACCAAAGAUUUAUCGCCUUUGGAUGGGCCCGCGUUGGAUUAGCUAGUUGGUAGGGUAAAAGCCUACCAAGGCGACGAUCCAUAGCUGGUCUGAGAGGAUGAUCAGCCACACUGGGACUGAGACACGGCCCAGACUCCUACGGGAGGCAGCAGUGGGGAAUAUUGGACAAUGGGCGAAAGCCUGAUCCAGCAAUGCCGCGUGAGUGAUGAAGGCCUUAGGGUUGUAAAGCUCUUUUACCCGGGAUGUUAAUGACAGUACCGGGAGAAUAAGCUCCGGCUAACUCCGUG
Molecule: ribosomal RNA, 433 nt
Filed under: uncultured bacterium
Lineage: Bacteria
Description: partial 16S ribosomal RNA
Rfam family: Bacterial small subunit ribosomal RNA
Source: RNAcentral